This 253-nucleotide ribosomal RNA is filed under the name uncultured bacterium. RNAcentral describes it as "partial 16S ribosomal RNA". It matches the Rfam family "Bacterial small subunit ribosomal RNA", at positions 524 to 776 of the family's 1533-position model. The record is from RNAcentral.
UACAGAGGGGGCAAGCGUUGUUCGGAAUUACUGGGCGUAAAGGGCGCGUAGGCGGCCUUCUAAGUCGAACGUGAAAUCCCCGGGCUCAACCCGGGAACUGCGUCCGAGACUGAAAGGCUUGAAUCCGGGAGAGGGAUGUGGAAUUCCAGGUGUAGCGGUGAAAUGCGUAGAUAUCUGGAGGAACAUCGGUGGCGAAGGCGGCUACCUGGACCGGUACUGACGCUGAGGCGCGAAAGCUAGGGUAGCAAACAGG